GGGGAAUAUUGGACAAUGGGGGAAACCCUGAUCCAGCAAUGCCGCGUGGGUGAUGAAGGCCUUCGGGUUGUAAAGCCCUUUCGGCGGGGACGAUGAUGACGGUACCCGCAGAAGAAGCCCCGGCUAACUUCGUGCCAGCAGCCGCGGUAAUACGAAGGGGGCUAGCGUUGUUCGGAAUUACUGGGCGUAAAGGGCGCGUAGGCGGCUUGUCUAGUCGGGCGUGAAAAGCCUGGGCUUAACCCGGGAACUGCGCUCGAUACUGAUAGGCUUGAGUGUGGGAGAGGAUGGUGGAAUUCCCAGUGUAGAGGUGAAAUUCGUAGAUAUUGGGAAGAACACCGGUGGCGAAGGCGGCCAUCUGGACCACAACUGACGCUGAGGCGCGAAAGCGUGGGGAGCAAAC
This 400-nucleotide ribosomal RNA is filed under the name uncultured bacterium. RNAcentral describes it as "bacterial SSU rRNA". It matches the Rfam family "Bacterial small subunit ribosomal RNA", at positions 356 to 773 of the family's 1533-position model. The record is from RNAcentral.